CCUACGGGAGGCAGCAGUGAGGAAUAUUGGUCAAUGGACGAGAGCCUGAACCAGCCAAGCCGCGUGAAGGAUGACUGCCCUAAGGGUUGUAAACUUCUUUUAUCAGGGAAUAAAACGAGGCACGUGUCCCUUUUUGAGUGUACUUUAUGAAUAAGGAUCGGCUAACUCCGUGCCAGCAGCCGCGGUAAUACGGAGGAUCCGAGCGUUAUCCGGAUUUAUUGGGUUUAAAGGGAGCGUAGGUGGGUUGUUAAGUCAGUUGUGAAAGUUUGGGGCUCAACCGGAAAAGUGCAAUUGAUACUGGCAGUCUUGAGUAGAGUAGAGGUAAGCGGAAUGCGCGGUGUAGCGGUGAAAUGCGUAGAUAUCGCGAAGAACCCCGAUUGCGAAGGCAGCUUACUAGACUGAGACUGACGUUGAGGCUCGAAAGUGUGGGUAUCAAACAGGAUUAGAUACCCUGGUAGUC
RNAcentral lists this ribosomal RNA (460 nucleotides) under uncultured bacterium. Its description in RNAcentral is "partial 16S ribosomal RNA". It matches the Rfam family "Bacterial small subunit ribosomal RNA", at positions 338 to 795 of the family's 1533-position model. The record is from RNAcentral.